CAAAUGCAGUACAAAGUCGGCCCUUGCUUAUCUCUUGGACAUUAAGCCGUGAUCCAAAACAGUCAAGCUAAUCAUCAUUCAGGCAAAAGUUUGCUUCAAGAAUGACAACACUGCUAAUGUGAUUUUAUCACUAGCACACCCUGAACACGCUGGAACCAGCAUCUCCAGCCUCCUGGAUAAUUCCCAGACAAUGGUGGAAAGCCAUCAACCCCAAAUUGUCUGUUUAGGAACCCCUAAGUUCUACAGCACAAUACAUCAUUGUGGCCGAGAAUGACAAAGUCACCAUUCCACUUGAGGAUAACAGUCUGACGUGUGCCAUCGACAAGCUGUUUAAAAUGUAUUGGGUUUGCAAUGUAGAAUAUCCUGUCCAACUCAUAUCUGUCUCAAUGCAUGGUCAAGCUACAAUCCCAGUACAUUCAGAACAAGACUCUGACACCAGCAUGAGUGAGGACUUCUCAGCUGCAUCUUGCUCUGCUGCUGUUUAUAUUCUAGAGACUAAUUUUGAUGGCUCCAGUAAUUGCGGCACUUCUGACUACCAAAGCUGUGUAGCAGCAUUUGUUGCAAAAAUGUACUCCUCUUCAAAUUGUACCCUGACCGAUGUGCAAAGAAGCAUCACAUGCACAAAAGAACUACUUUGUGAAGCCCUGGACUGUUUGCAAGAGUGGACCACAUCUCUGCUUAAUCGUUACUCUAUACCCAUUGAUGAAUUGCAAACUUUGAUGAAAGAUUUUGAAAGAGGACGAAAUAUGUUUGAGGAGUUUUAUACCCCCUAUAAAAUGACCAAGUAUUUUGCUGAAAAUCACUCUUUUAUCAAGCCAACAGAAAUCUUCCUUGGAAACAGAGGUGACACUGCAAGAAAGCAAGGUAAAUUAACUCAAGUGGUAAUAGCAGAUACAUGUCAAUACAUAUCUAUUAUUGAUACCCUGAAGUUUCUUUUUGACAAUGAACAAAUGCAAAAGCUCUUUGUGGAUUCAACUGAAAGUGAUGGUAAAUUGCGUGACUACUGUGAUGGCUCACAUUUUAAAAAUUACAAAUUGUACAAUAUAUUUCCUCAA
Long non-coding RNA from Cyprinus carpio (common carp), 1055 nucleotides. RefSeq lists it as uncharacterized. The record is from RefSeq and is a predicted model, not a curated record. NCBI's taxonomy places the organism in Eukaryota, Metazoa, Chordata, Actinopteri, Cypriniformes, Cyprinidae. The transcript has 3 exons.